Molecule: long non-coding RNA, 3379 nt
Filed under: Malus domestica (apple)
Lineage: Eukaryota; Viridiplantae; Streptophyta; Magnoliopsida; Rosales; Rosaceae
Description: long non-coding RNA (MDOM_LNC000985)
Source: RNAcentral
GUUAAGUUUUAACAACAAAAAAUAAACUCUAUGCAAACAAAAAAUAAUAAUAAUAAUUGUUAACGGGUCGGAUUGAACCCGACCCAAACCCAAUAACCCCGAUCCGUUUACAGGUCUAGCUUGUACCAAAAGAAAUUUGAUAGAAGAGAAAAUUGGAGCAUUGAUCCUAGACUUCGGCCCAACUUCACUCAUAAAUCAUCGUGGUAACUUUAUGUCCACCACUCGAUUUUGAUUGUAUUACCGUUGAAGAAAUACAGCAUAAGCACUCAUAAAUUUUCAUGGUGGCGACAAUAGCGGCGCCAACAGCAAUGAUGGUGUCGCCAGCAGCAAUGGUGAGGGUAUAAUGGUGGUGCCAAUUCUAGCGUGUGGUUGUUGGGGGUGUAGAGGUAGCAAUGGUGCACGUGGCGGUCAAUACUAUGUAAAAUUUUACAUGAUCCGCCUUUUCCUGCCCCAGGAUGAACGUACGUAGGUUGAGACCCCCGUAUAAGAAACUUGGUGUUAAGAGCUGCUACCCCAAAUCCAAAGCCAAAUAACUUUUCUUAGUGUUUGUGACGCAGCUAUGACCCGCUAACAGAUGAGGGGGCGGGAAAAGGGCUUAAAAUACAUCUCUGAAAUAAAAAAAGUCCACAACAACUUGAACAAUGUCACGGUUUUCUUCUUUUACCUAAAGGAAAUACUAUAUAUGAACGAAACCACGCACCGGGGAAAUGUGGAAACGCAAUGGAAUGCUCGACAAGUACGAUCACCCACUCAUGUGAAAAUCACAUGCCACCACCUCAUAUUCAACACUGCAACGCAUAGCUUUAAGUAUUUGUAUGCAACAAGCAAAGUUAUUUGAUCAUGCUUUUCAAAUCAACACAAAUCGAAGCAAACCGCAACGAAAUUUAUGAUCAAGAUCACAUAAUGUUAAAAACUCUCUGACUACAUACUACUCUGUUGCUCAAACUAAACCAGCUAAUCGAUCUACUUUUCUCAAUCAAAAACAGCACAAACUGAACAAAUUAUCGAAAUAUAAAUUGAAAAACAAAACAAUCAAAGCAAACUGCAACGAAAUUUAUGAUCAAAUCCCACAUAAUGUAAAACUCACAACAUUACUAUCUGUUGCCAGCUAACCACCAGCUUCACUCUUUUCUAAGUCAAAGAAACAGCACAACAACAAAUAUCGAAAUAUCAAUUGAAAAACAAAACACUCAAAGCAAACUGCAAACGAAAUUUAUGACAAAUCCACACAAUAUAAAACUGCACUACACUACUUCUUUGCUCACUAACCAGCUCAAUCGACUACUUUCUCAAUAAGAAACACAAACUGAACCAAUAUCGAAAAAAAUUAAAAACAAAACAAUCAAGCAACUGCCAACGAAAAUGUAUGAUCAAAUCCUAACCAACUAAAUGCAACUAUUACUGUUGCUCCUAAACCAGCUCAAAUCGACUACUUUUCUCAUAAGAAAAGCAAAACUGAACAAAUUAUCGAAAUAUAAAUUGAAAAACAAAACAAUCAAAGCAAACUGCAACGAAAUUUAUGAUCAAAUCCCACAUAAUGUAAAACUGCACUACACAUCUGCCUCAGCUUAAACCAGCCUAACUUUCUCAAUCAAAACAGCACAAACGAACAAUUAUCGAAAUAUAAAUUGAAAAACAAUAAACAAUCACAAAGCAAACUGUCAACAUAAUAAUGAUAUCAAAUCCCACAUAUAUGUAAAUAAGCAAACUACAGUUACUACUUUCGAUAAGCCAAACCAUGCUUCAAAUGGACUACUUUCUCAAUCAGAAACAGCACAAACUGAACAAAUUAUCGAAAUAUAAAUUGAAAAACAAAACAAUCAAAGCAAACUGCAACGAAAUUUAUGAUCAAAUCCCACAUAAUGUAAAACUGCAACUACAUUACUACUCUGUUGCUCAGCUAAACCAGCUUCAAAUCGACUACUUUUCUCAAUAAGAAACAGCACAAACUGAACAAAUUAUCGAAAAUAAAAUUGAAAAACAAAACAAUCAAAGCAAACGCAACGAAAUUUAUAUCAACCCAAUUAUACACUACACUACUCUGUUGCUCAGCAAACCAGAGCUUCAAAUCGACUACUUUUCUCAAUCAAAAACAGCACAAACUGAACAAAUUAUCAAAAUAUAUAUUGAAAAACAAAACAAUCAAAGCAAACUGCAACGAAAUUUAUGAUCAAAUCCCACAUAAUGUAAAACUGCAACUACAUUACUACUCUGUUGCUCAGCUAAACCAGCUUCAAAUCGACUACUUUUCUCAAUCAAAAACAGCACAAACUGAACAAAUUAUCGAAAUAUAAAUUGAAAAACAAAACAAUCAAAGAAAAACUGCAAAAAUAUAUCAAACCCACAAAUGUAAAACGCAAACUAUUACACUCUUUUGCUCAGCUAAACCAAGCUUCAAAUCGACUUUUCUCAAUCAAAAACAGCACAAACUGACAAUUAUCGAAAUUAAAUAAAACAAAACAAUCAAAGCAAAAAACUGCAACGAAAUUUAUGAUCAAUUCCCACAUAAUGUAAAACUGCAACUACAUUACUACUCUGUUGCUCAGCUAAACCAGCUUCAAAUCGCUACUUUCUCAACUCAAAAACAGGACAAACUGACAUAAUGUAAUGCAACUACAUUACUAAUCAUAAGCUUCUCGACUACUUUUCUCAAAAAACACACAAACUGAACCCUCCAAAGCAAACCCCAACGAAAUUUAGAUCAAAUCCCCAUAAUGUAAAACUGCAUUACACAUUACUAACUCAAAUGUUGCUUCAGCUAUUAACCAUUGAUUCAAUCAAACAACUCUUGCACUCAAAAAGACAAACCAACAUAAUAUCGAUGCAAACAAAUUACUACUCUGUUUUGCACGAAAUUUUAUCGCUAUCAAUCCCAUCAAUAAUGUAAAACUGCAAUUACAUUUAACUCCAGCUCUUUUGCAAUCUUCAGCCUUUAAACCUUCCAAAUUCAACUACAUUACUACUCUGUUGCUCAGCUAAACCAGCUUCAAAUCGACUACUUUUCUCAAUAAAAAACAGCACAAACUGAACAAAUUAUCGAAAUAUAAAUUGAAAAACAAAAAGAAUAUACCUUGAAGGAUGCCCCAUUUGAAAUCCUAAUCCUCCAAUUCCAAACAAAACCCCCUCCCCAAAACAAGCUAAAACCCGUCACCAAAUCACUCAAUCUUCAUCAUCGUUGUCACUCUCAUCACUAAAGUAACCAGGUUUCUUUGCAACCUUUUUACUCUUCUUCUCCUCCGCCUCCUCCGCCGCCAACCGCAACCUCAGAUCAGCCCCAUCAUCCACCACCGACGCCCAAUUAUCAUCCUCAAACUUCUCACCACCACUAUCAUACUCCUCCUCGUCCACAGGUGCCGCCCUGCCGCCAUUACCGCUACCA